Molecule: long non-coding RNA, 2349 nt
Organism: Brassica napus (rape)
Lineage: Eukaryota; Viridiplantae; Streptophyta; Magnoliopsida; Brassicales; Brassicaceae
Exons: 3
Source: RefSeq, a predicted model, not a curated record
UUUUGUUUUGAAAUCUCGCUUCUCGGUUCUUAUAUUUUUUGUUUUGUGUUUCGAAACGCGGCCGUUUUGCUACAUCUCCAAAUCAUUUUUCUGGCCUUGGGCCAUGCUUUCGUAUAUGUGGCCCGUCUUGCGUUUAGGGUUACGUGUGCGUCUUCGAGAUUGCCGAUCUACGCCGUCCUCUUUCCAUCGUCUCCUCUCUGUAUACCCUUCCCUUCACAGCCAACGUUACGCUUAGCAAUAAUGUCAAGCAAUAAAAGUGUCCUUCAAUGGAGCUUUCAAUGUACGUACUGACUUCGCUUGACUAUUCAGUAUAAAUAUGUACCUCUUGAAAGCAUUUGAAGGAUGCAAGCUGUCUAGAAAAAGUGGUAGACAAACCAUUCGAUUUUGGGAAGCCUGGAAUGUGAAGAAAAGGGGCUAACUGAUGGGCGUUGAUAUGGUUCUUAUUGAUUCAAAGUUCCAGGUGCAAGAUUCCUUCUUUUGAAUCAGCCUUUCAUUUAUCAAUUGGCCUCACAAAACUAUCAUCCUCUAGAAGAAUUGAAGCCUGGCAAAAGAGUCCAGGAGACAAAACUCUCUCCUGCUGAAGUAGCUAGGACUGCGGUUGAGGUUUGUACCUGAGAAACAAUAUGAGACCACUACUGUCAGAGUUUUGUAUGAACUAGAAUAGUGUUUAGUUUUGCUAUGAGAUGCAUUAGCUGAAGAGGAAGGCGGCAGGUCUAAGAAGACCACAAAGACUAGGUGGUCUACACCAGGCGUGAAAAAGUUUUAUCAUUCUCACUGUUAUUUUGCAUCUGAGCUUUUUUAUGUUUUGAGUUUCAUGAAUAAGUACACGUUGAACAAUUUUCUGAACCAUAUUUUGGGUUGUGUUGGUUUAGCGAAUUUUAUAGGACUUUAGGAUAUAUCAGCAUUUGGACGAGUUCACGAGUUGAUUCUGCUUUUAUGAUUAUCUGCAUCAUUGCCCUUAGUUGUUCAGAGCUGUUUUCUCAGCUUCAAGUCGGCAUAUUAGCAGAAGAAAACAACUAGUUUGUAUUUUACUUAACAAGUAAUUUUUUAAAUGUUAUAUAAUGUUGCAUAAUUUUGGAGACCACCUGUUAAGCACGAAAAACAGUGUGGAAUCUGAAUAGGAAAGAACGAAAUUUAAUAGCAGCAAUGCAACAUGUGAUUUAUAACGAACAACAUUAAAAUAUCAACCUACAUCUAUGCCCCUUAAAGAAGUAAUAAGAACCUUGACUUCAUCAUCGCAAUUUUCGUCCUAACUCACCUUCCAUCUCUUCCACCUCUGAGAUGCUCAAGAGUCAUAAGCUGUUGGUACCACCAUCUAUUUAGUCUAGCUUUACGUUUACUAAUGUAAGAUGCAGCUGGUUCCCGGCCAAUUAAAAUGGUUCUGAUGCUUGAUCUUUGGGGGGAUAAUAUUAGAGUAUUUAAACUGCUUUAUGUCACCUGUUAAAAUACGCAUAGUAGCUGAACAAUAUAGUCACUGCUGAGGAAGAACAUCAACAGACAAACGGUUUCGAUCAGUGACUUACAAACAGCCCACCGUCCACACAACCCGCUCACAAUGACUCUUAACGUUCACACUAGCCAGUGAAUGCAGAAACUGUUACAACUGCAACUGAGUAGCAACCAGGGGCGAAGUCAGGCUAUUGUAUAUGGGGGCCUGUGCACCCAUAAUAUUUCUAUAUAACUUAUAUUUUGUUAAAGAAAACAUUGAAAAUCUGUUGGAUCAGGUGAGCUUAUGUUGAUUUUUAGUUUAUAUUUAGUUUAUUUGAUUUUAUAUAAAAAUAGAUAACUAUAUUUAUCUUCUAUAGUAUUUUGUUUAUAUGAUUAAAAUUUGGAUUUAAUAAAACAUGAUGAUAUUUUUCACUUCUCGAACUUAAAAAUAUAAUGUUCUUUAUGUUUUAUUUUAAGAAUUAUCAAAAAGAAAAAUAGUUAAAGUAAAACAAUUAAACACGGCCUAAUAACACUAUUAUUGAGUUUCCACAUCCAUCCAACACUUAUCACACUUGCUACAUAAGCUCACAAAACAUACGGAAACAACAAACGCUAAUACCCUUAAAAAGGAAAACGUAGCCUACACGCCUACCCCUUCUACCACUACUCUCCUUCCCGGCUUCUCUAAUACCAGAUUCACUCACACUAACUAUGGUUGACACAACCAACGUCACAACACACAAUCGAUUACACCAUGAGGCAAAAACUAGGUUACAAAUGAACCACCCCAAAUACUCGAUGUAUCCAGACUAUAUAUGAUAUAACACAAGAAAUAUACAAAUAACUUCACCACAAGUAAAAUAAGUCUAAAAAAAAAAAAGUAAAAAAAGUCACUUAGUUGAGCAGCUUACAUCUAAACUA